This 30-nucleotide non-coding RNA is filed under the name Rattus norvegicus (Norway rat). The record is from RNAcentral. Lineage: Eukaryota; Metazoa; Chordata; Mammalia; Rodentia; Muridae.
UCAAAAUGCUGAAAAGUCUUACUCAGGAAA